AAGACAUGACGACACAGACAGAAGGUUGUUCCAAUUUUAUGUCAUCUUACCUGAGCACUCGAAUGCACGACUAUUUUCAUAAUAACAUGAGCGGAGUGGAAUAAAGAACAUGAUCAGCAUGAUUGAUAUUCAAAACGACCCUGCAACAAAUCAUCGACAUGGAAAACCCUUCUCUGCACGCCAACGAGGGAAAUUCACAUUUAAAGUCAACGCAAGCAAGUCCAGGACGGCAGCCACCCCACCUCGUCCCAGGAGCACGGCAUCCG
Molecule: long non-coding RNA, 266 nt
Organism: Megalobrama amblycephala (Wuchang bream)
Lineage: Eukaryota; Metazoa; Chordata; Actinopteri; Cypriniformes; Xenocyprididae
Exons: 3
Source: RefSeq, a predicted model, not a curated record